UACGUAGGCAGCAAGCGUUGUUCGGAGUUACUGGGCGUAAAGGGUGUGUAGGCGGUUCUUUAAGUUUGGUGUGAAAUCUCCCGGCUCAACUGGGAGGGUGCGCCGAAUACUGAGGGACUAGAGUACGGGAGAGGAAAGUGGAAUUCCUGGUGUAGCGGUGAAAUGCGUAGAUAUCGGGAGGAAUACCGAUGGCGAAGGCAGGUCUCUGGGCUGACACUGACGCUCAUGCACGAAAGCGUGGGGAGCAAACAGG
RNAcentral lists this ribosomal RNA (253 nucleotides) under uncultured prokaryote. RNAcentral describes it as "partial 16S ribosomal RNA". It matches the Rfam family "Bacterial small subunit ribosomal RNA", at positions 524 to 776 of the family's 1533-position model. The record is from RNAcentral.